This 28-nucleotide non-coding RNA is filed under the name Homo sapiens (human). Lineage: Eukaryota; Metazoa; Chordata; Mammalia; Primates; Hominidae. The record is from RNAcentral.
UGAAGGAGCUGACUGUGAAGGCAAGGAC